CUCCUAUCAUGUUCCUUUGAGAUCUACCCCAUGAAGCGACGUCCUUACUCAGGGUGAAUGGGACAAUGGGGGUUCAGGUCCAUUUAGCAUAUCCUCAUCCCUCAGCAUAAACAGAGUUGGAGCAAGGGGGAACAAAUUGGUCCUAUUGGUUAAAAACUUGUGCUUCUUAAAUAACUAACUUAAUUGUAAUCUCAUUAAUUGCCAGGUAUCCAAAUCAUCUUCUAAUCACGGUCCAUGGACUUUCAAUUCAUCAUUUCCCUGCAGAUGAAGCCACCCAACACACAGAUCAGUAACAGGAAUCAAUGCUCUGUCACUACAUACAAAAAUCAGCUGGAUCCAGUUUUAGCAGAGCAUUUUAAAUAAGUUUAAUAUUCGUUUCCAGUGAAGCUAACCUUCUGCUUCACCCUUCUCCACUUUUUCUUCGAAAGUGAUUUUUCCUGAGCUAAAGGAGAGAAAGGAGUCUUUAUCCUCUACAUCUCUUGGAUUUAAGGCGACCCCUCCUUGAGGUGCCAAGUGUGAAGUCCAGAUGAUCCAGUCUCCCUCCUCACUGUCUGUAUCCCUAGGUAUCAGAGUCACCGUCACUUGCCGGGCAUGUUAGGGCAUCAGCAAGUGGUUAUCCUGGUCUCAGUAGAAACCAAGGAAAGUUCCUAAGCUCCUGAUCGAUGUUGCAUCCAGUUUGCACACCGGGGUCCCUUCGCAGAUUGCGGUUCAGCGGCAGUGGAUCUGGCACAGAUUUCAGUCUCACCAUCAGCAGCCUGGAGCCUGAAUAUGUUGCAACUUACAACUGUCAACAGUAUAACAGUAACCAUCCCACAGUGUUACAAGCCAGAACAUAAAUCACCUAGGGAAGCAGACCCAUGAGGCUGGGCUGUCCCAGCUCGUAGUCUUAUGCUGCCUCCAUCUGCUAAGAUGCUAAAAGCUUGUUUCAGACACAGCCAUGUUUACAAAGUCACUGGAAGAUUGUGGUAGAAGAGGCAGGGAGAGUCCUGUUCACUCUCAUCUGUUUCUCCCUCCUCCACCCCAACAAGACACAUGAUGUUACCUCUUCUAAUUUAAUAAAGGACCGAGAUAAUAACA
Equus asinus (donkey) is the source of this 1077-nucleotide long non-coding RNA. The record is from Ensembl. Lineage: Eukaryota; Metazoa; Chordata; Mammalia; Perissodactyla; Equidae.